GUAUCGGAUUCUGGGCGUAAGCGCACGCAGGCGGUCUGUCAAGUCGGAUGUGAAAUCCCCGGGCUCAACCUGGGAACUGCAUUCGAAACUGGCAGGCUAGAGUCUUGUAGAGGGGGGUAGAAUUCCAGGUGUAGCGGUGAAAUGCGUAGAGAUCUGGAGGAAUACCGGUGGCGAAGGCGGCCCCCUGGACAAAGACUGACGCUCAGGUGCGAAAGCGUGGGGAGCAAACAGGAUUAGAUACCCUGGUAGUCCACGCCGUAAACGAUGUCGACUUGGAGGUUGUGCCCUUGAGGCGUGGCUUCCGGAGCUAACGCGUUAAGUCGACCGCCUGGGGAGUACGGCCGCAAGGUUAAAACUCAAAUGAAUUGACGGGGGCCCGCACAAGCGGUGGAGCAUGUGGUUUAAUUCGAUGCAACGCGAAGAACCUUACCUACUCUUGACAUCCAGAGAACUUUCCAGAGAUGGAUUGGUGCCUUCGGGAACUCUGAGACAGGUGCUGCAUGGCUGUCGUCAGCUCGUGUUGUGAAAUGUUGGGUUAAGUCCCGCAACGAGCGCAACCCUUAUCCUUUGUUGCCAGCGGUCAGGCCGGGAAC
RNAcentral lists this ribosomal RNA (593 nucleotides) under Enterobacter asburiae. RNAcentral describes it as "bacterial SSU rRNA". It matches the Rfam family "Bacterial small subunit ribosomal RNA", at positions 542 to 1138 of the family's 1533-position model. Lineage: Bacteria; Pseudomonadati; Pseudomonadota; Gammaproteobacteria; Enterobacterales; Enterobacteriaceae. The record is from RNAcentral.